AGACAGAGGUGGCGAGCGUUGUUCGGAAUUACUGGGCUUAAAGGGCGCGUAGGCGGUGGCGCAAGUAUGUGGUGGAAUUUCACAGCUCAACUGUGGGAUUGCCUUGGAAACUGCGUUACUUGAGUCGGACAGGGGAAGGCGGAAUUCCUGGUGUAGCGGUGAAAUGCGUAGAUAUCAGGAGGAAGGCCUGUGGUGAAGACGGCCUUCUGGGUCUUGACUGACGCUGAGGCGCGAAAGCGUGGGGAGCAAACAGGAUUAGAUACCCUGGUAGUCCACGCCCUAAACGGUGGGUACUAGGUGUGGGAUCCGUAUGGGUUCUGUGCCGAAGGGAAACCAUUAAGUACCCCGCCUGGGGAGUACGGCCGCAAGGUUGAA
This 375-nucleotide ribosomal RNA is filed under the name uncultured bacterium. RNAcentral's name for it is "bacterial SSU rRNA". It matches the Rfam family "Bacterial small subunit ribosomal RNA", at positions 523 to 898 of the family's 1533-position model. The record is from RNAcentral.